This 75-nucleotide transfer RNA is filed under the name Candidatus Saccharimonadota bacterium. Its description in RNAcentral is "tRNA-Met". It matches the Rfam family "tRNA". Rfam says of the family: Transfer RNA (tRNA) molecules are approximately 80 nucleotides in length. RNAcentral also lists the same sequence under 1 other name. The record is from RNAcentral. Lineage: Bacteria; Candidatus Saccharimonadota.
CGCGGGGUAGAGCAGCGGCAGCUCGUUUGGCUCAUAACCAAAAGGUCGGAGGUUCGAGUCCUCCCCCCGCUACCA